This 116-nucleotide ribosomal RNA is filed under the name Treponema sp. Lineage: Bacteria; Pseudomonadati; Spirochaetota; Spirochaetia; Treponematales; Treponemataceae. The record is from RNAcentral.
CCCGGUGAUUAUGGCGGAGGUGUUACACCCGUUCCCUUUCCGAACACGGAAGUUAAGCCCUCCCGCGCCGAUGAUACUGCCUCUCUAAGGGGCGGGAAAGUAGGUAGUCGCUGGGC